Molecule: ribosomal RNA, 800 nt
Filed under: uncultured bacterium
Lineage: Bacteria
Description: bacterial SSU rRNA
Rfam family: Bacterial small subunit ribosomal RNA
Source: RNAcentral
GAAUUCGCCCUUAGAGUUUGAUCCUGGCUCAGGAUGAACGCUGGCGGCGUGCUUAACACAUGCAAGUCGAACGGGGGUCAUUUUGCGGAAGUCUUCGGACGGAAGUGAUUUGACUCGAGUGGCGGACGGGUGAGUAACACGUGAGCAACCUGCCUUUUGCUGGGGAAUAACUGUGGGAAACCAUGGCUAAUACCGCAUGUUGUGCCAACUGGGCAUCCGGUUGGCAUGAAAGGAGAAAUCCGGCAGAAGAUGGGCUCGCGUCCGAUUAGGUAGUUGGUGGGGUAAUGGCUCACCAAGCCAACGAUCGGUAGCCGAACUGAGAGGUCGAACGGCCACAUUGGGACUGAGACACGGCCCACACUCCUACGGGAGGCAGCAGUGGGGAAUAUUGGGCAAUGGGGGAAACCCUGACCCAGCGACGCCGCGUGAAGGACGAAGGCUUUCGGGUUGUAAACUUCUUUGGGGAGGGACGAAAUUGACGGUACCUCCAGAACAAGCCACGGCUAACUACGUGCCAGCAGCCGCGGUAAUACGUAGGUGGCAAGCGUUAUCCGGAUUUACUGGGUGUAAAGGGCGUGUAGGCGGGUUUUCAAGUCGGAUGUGAAAAGGCAAGGCUCAACUUUGCUCUGUCAUCCGAAACUGGAGAUCUUGAGUGUCAGAGGGGAAAAGCGGAAUUCCUGGUGGAGCGGUAAAAUGCGUAGAAAUCAGGAAGGACCCCCGGCGGCGAAGGCCGCUUUUCUGGCUAAACACUGAACGCUGAGGCGCGAAAAGGGGGGGGAAGCAAACAGGAAUAAAAAACC